UACGGAGGAUCCAAGCGUUAUCCGGAUUUAUUGGGUUUAAAGGGUGCGUAGGCGGCCUGUUAAGUCAGGGGUGAAAGACGGUAGCUCAACUAUCGCAGUGCCCUUGAUACUGAUAGGCUUGAAUGAACUAGAGGUAGGCGGAAUGUGACAAGUAGCGGUGAAAUGCAUAGAUAUGUCACAGAACACCGAUUGCGAAGGCAGCUUACUAUGGUUUUAUUGACGCUGAGGCACGAAAGCGUGGGGAUCAAACAGG
RNAcentral lists this ribosomal RNA (253 nucleotides) under uncultured bacterium. RNAcentral describes it as "partial 16S ribosomal RNA". It matches the Rfam family "Bacterial small subunit ribosomal RNA", at positions 524 to 776 of the family's 1533-position model. The record is from RNAcentral.